This 444-nucleotide unclassified non-coding RNA is filed under the name Hevea brasiliensis (rubber tree). The record is from RNAcentral. Lineage: Eukaryota; Viridiplantae; Streptophyta; Magnoliopsida; Malpighiales; Euphorbiaceae.
AGCAGAUUCAGGUGGAUCAACCAACUCAAACUUGGUAUGGUCACUGUUGGAAGCAGUAAGAACCAUAGCUUGUGACUUGAUGCCCCUCAUGGUUGCUGGCUUUAAGUUACAAAGAACACAGACCUUCCGAUUCUGCAUCUGCUCUAGAGGUAUAUACUUGACAAGUCCGCUAACAACUGUUCUAGUCUCUACUUCCCCCACAUCAAUUUCUUCCACAUAUAGGGAAUCAGCAUCAGGAUGCUUCUGAGCUUUCUUAAUUAAGCCAACACGAAUAUCAAGUCUUGUGAUGGAGAUUUCUGGCUCAACAGUGCUCUUUGAUUUCGUCGCUGCAGAUGGCUUUUUGGUCUGUUGCUUCUUCCCACUACCAUCUGAAACUUUUGUCUUCUUCAGUUGCUCAGCAAUCCUUGCUGCUUCAGCUUCUGCCCUCUCAGCUUGACUUCCAGC